GACGAACGCUGGCGGCGUGCUUAACACAUGCAAGUCGAACGGUAAGGCCCUUCGGGGUACACGAGUGGCGAACGGGUGAGUAACACGUGGGUGAUCUGCCCUGCACUUCGGGAUAAGCCUGGGAAACUGGGUCUAAUACCGGAUAGGACCACUGCCUGCAUGGGUGGUGGUGGAAAGCUUUUGCGGUGUGGGAUGGGCCCGCGGCCUAUCAGCUUGUUGGUGGGGGGAUGGCCUACCAAGGCGACGACGGGUAGCCGGCCUGAGAGGGUGACCGGCCAAACUGGGACUGCGAUACGGCACAGGCUCCUACGGGAGGCAGCAGUGGGGAAUAUUGCACAAUGGGCGCAAGCCUGAUGCAGCGACGCCGCGUGAGGGAUGACGGCCUUCGGGUUGUAAACCUCUUUCAGCACCGACGAAGCGCAAGUGACGGUAGGUGCAGAAGAAGGACCGGCCAACUACGUGCCAGCCGCCGCCGUAA
Molecule: ribosomal RNA, 478 nt
Filed under: uncultured bacterium
Lineage: Bacteria
Description: partial 16S ribosomal RNA
Rfam family: Bacterial small subunit ribosomal RNA
Source: RNAcentral